This 253-nucleotide ribosomal RNA is filed under the name uncultured bacterium. RNAcentral describes it as "partial 16S ribosomal RNA". It matches the Rfam family "Bacterial small subunit ribosomal RNA", at positions 524 to 776 of the family's 1533-position model. The record is from RNAcentral.
UACGGGGGGGGCAAGCGUUGUUCGGAAUUACUGGGCGUAAAGGGUCUGUAGGUGGCUUGCUAAGUCAGACGUGAAAUCCCUCGGCUUAACCGGGGAACUGCGUCUGAUACUGGCGAGCUUGAGUGCAGGAGAGGAACGCGGAAUUCCAGGUGUAGCGGUGAAAUGCGUAGAUAUCUGGAGGAACACCGGUGGCGAAGGCGGCGUUCUGGACUGCAACUGACACUGAGAAACGAAAGCCAGGGUAGCAAACGGG